This is a long non-coding RNA of Gasterosteus aculeatus aculeatus (three-spined stickleback), 2254 nucleotides long. The record is from Ensembl. Lineage: Eukaryota; Metazoa; Chordata; Actinopteri; Perciformes; Gasterosteidae.
ACCAAGUUUUCUGAUAUAAAAGUAACGGAUGGAGCAGACUUCAAUCAUCGAGCUGAAUCAAUGCUCUUUCAAACGCUAGAGAAACAAAUGCCUUUUCAAAAUAAAAGAAGUUACUUGUAUGUUCCGUGAAAUUCAAUCACGCAGCGAUGGCCCGUGCAGCAUUUAAACGCCAUGGUAUCUUUAAAGCUCUUGUUAAUAUAGGUUCAAAACUCACCAUUUCAGAGCCACAUUCGACAUGACACGCAUACAACAGCGCACAAUGCAUGCUGUCGUGUGUAAAAACAGUCACUGCUUUCAUGUGCAUUUGUGCGCUGACGUCACCGUCGGAAAUACGUUAGGGAAAAGGGCAAAAUUGCCCCCAGGAUAUAAAGCUUUGCCCCAGAUAUUACUAGAAGAGAGGCAAAUCCAGUCUCUGUCGCCAUCUCAGGUUAAACAGACCAUCGAUAGAUGGAAGAUAGAUUGGGUCGGGGUGGAGGAAGACCACAAGAGAAACACCCGCAUUUUUGCGAGGCUCCCGAGGAACUUGAACUUGCCGACAACGAAUUGCCAACGUUGUUCUUCACCACCACCGGCGAGUUCUUUUGCUGACUUCAUCAAGGGGGCGAAAACUUUAAGAAGUACGUUUCCUUGACUCCGUGAAAACACGACGGCUUGCUAGCUAGCUAACGUUAGCUAACGUCGGACAGAGUGCAGACAGUGAGACGUUUCCUCUCCUCAUAACUUACUGCCAUCUUGUGGUUAACAGCCAAUCCUCUAUUUGGGUAAAAUAUAAUUAGUUAAGAUUGCAGUUGACUCGGGGUUUCAAGGUGUAAAUGUUCUGUUUCUUGUUUUUACAGAGCAAUCAGCUCUACAACGGAGCCGACUGUGGAAGCCGUGAAUCGGAGGGCUUUCUGGUUGAGUGCAGCUUUCUGUGUUGUUGACGGCGCACAACAGCACACGGUGGAUUCUCUUUGUGAGAAUCUUUGGUGUGAAAAAGAAAGGUCUCGAGUAGAAAAUGGAUCUCAUCACAGUUCUUGGAACCUUUUGUUUAAAAGAGGGCUCCAGAAAAAUGUGUAUUGUACACCCCAUUGGUUUGAUCAACAAUUUAUUGCAGAGGGAAAUGACCAAGCCUUCCCGCAGUGUCAAGAAAUGGAAAACUAAGCAGGAGAAUGCUUAAACUUCACUUCACAACUUUGCACCACCGGGUGUUAAGUCGAGGGAAAUGAUCGAGGACGAGCCAGUGUAGUAUGAACCGCACCAGCAUGUCUUGGAAUACAGGCUGACAGUGUUGUUCUUUCACGGUUUUAUCCUUUUACUACCCUCAGAGUGGACAUUUUUAAAUAGGUGGAUGCCCCUUUCAUGCCUGACUGAGGCUUUGAUAUUUUAAAAAUGAAUUACCUCCAGCGGCACACAAACCUUCUCGUCUCUUUUUCUCUCUGCCUCUGUCAUGAUGCUCAUAUUACAUGUUCCUCCUUUUGUAUCUUUUUUCCCCAGUGCUGCCUACAUUUCAUUAAAGAACCAAAUUCAUGCUAAGCCUUUAUAUUUAGUUAAAUGACAAUCCUGACUUGACAUCGGAGCAGAUUCAAUCAAAUUAGAGCCAAACCUUCCUCGCAUGUAAUGGUAAUUACAAAUUAAAGCUGUAAAGCACCAAUAUGGUUUGGCUAAAUGACUUCGAAUUUGAGUUCGGAAUGGUAAUUCAGGCAUCCUGGCCAGUUCAUUUAAUUAACCAAGCAGGCCAUCAGUCUUCAUAGCAGCAUGGUAACAAUAGGACAUCACACAGGCGGAUGGAUAUCAAGAUCGCUGAUUGAAGCCAGUGAGAAUAAUGGAAAGAUUUAAAUAAUGGAAGCUGUUCUUGCAUACUGAUAAAAUAAUAAUUCUCAGCCUUUUUAAUGCGGUGCCAAACCUGUUUGUGAGGUACGGAGAUUAUGAGGCUCACCGGUUUAUCGAAAGAUGGAGUUUAAGGAUUUGAUCUGGUCCACUGGGCUUAGUUGGCUCUCACCUCCAUGUUUUUGUCCAGUACAUUCAGCUUUUAGCUAUUGAGGGGACAUUUGCUUGACAUGGCAUUUAAUAAGAUGGGAGCAUUUUCAUUUCUGCAAGCUGCUCAACGAAAAGGAAUUUAGUCAUGUCGGUCAGCAACUGAGCGAAGGAGCGACUCUUACUACUAUUUAAGCUUAAGUAAAAAACAUUGCACCUAAAUGUGCUCCUUUGUAGACCAUACGCCCUGGCAAACUGACUGAUUGAGCAAAAAUCAGAAACCUUAUGUCAUGCCCUCAUA